GACGAACGCUGGCGGCGUGCUUAACACAUGCAAGUCGAACGGGAUUUAGUAAACGGAAGCUUCGGUGGAAGAUUACUAAUGAGAGUGGCGAACGGGUGAGUAACGCGUGAGCAACCUGCCUAUGACAGUGGGAUAGCCUCGGGAAACCGGGAUUAAUACCGCAUAAAAUCGUAGGAACACAUGUUUUAACGGUCAAAGAUUUAUCGGUCAUAGAUGGGCUCGCGUCUGAUUAGCUAGUUGGUGAGAUAACAGCCCACCAAGGCGACGAUCAGUAGCCGGUCUGAGAGGAUGAACGGCCACAUUGGAACUGAGACACGGUCCAAACUCCUACGGGAGGCAGCAGUGGGGAAUAUUGCACAAUGGGGGAAACCCUGAUGCAGCGACGCCGCGUGAACGAAGAAGGUAUUCGUAUCGUAAAGUUCUGUCCUAUGGGAAGAUAAUGACAGUACCAUAGAAGAAAGCUCCGGCUAAAUACGUGCCAGCAGCCGCGGUAAUACGUAUGGAGCGAGCGUUGUCCGGAAUUAUUGGGCGUAAAGGGUACGCAGGCGGUUUAAUAAGUCGAAUGUUAAAGAUCGGGGCUCAACCCCGUAAAGCAUUGGAAACUGAUAAACUUGAGUAGUGGAGAGGAAAGUGGAAUUCCUAGUGUAGUGGUGAAAUACGUAGAUAUUAGGAGGAAUACCAGUAGCGAAGGCGACUUUCUGGACACAAACUGACGCUGAGGUACGAAAGCGUGGGGAGCAAACAGG
Molecule: ribosomal RNA, 746 nt
Filed under: uncultured Finegoldia sp.
Lineage: Bacteria; Bacillati; Bacillota; Tissierellia; Tissierellales; Peptoniphilaceae
Description: bacterial SSU rRNA
Rfam family: Bacterial small subunit ribosomal RNA
Source: RNAcentral